GUGCGAUGAAGGUUAAUGAUAAGUUUCGGCUGACUCAAAUUGAUGACACCUUUAAUAUGCUGAGCACU
Small nucleolar RNA from Caenorhabditis elegans, 68 nucleotides. The record is from Ensembl. NCBI's taxonomy places the organism in Eukaryota, Metazoa, Nematoda, Chromadorea, Rhabditida, Rhabditidae.